This 1167-nucleotide ribosomal RNA is filed under the name Salmonella enterica. Its description in RNAcentral is "bacterial SSU rRNA". It matches the Rfam family "Bacterial small subunit ribosomal RNA", at positions 1 to 1162 of the family's 1533-position model. The record is from RNAcentral. Lineage: Bacteria; Pseudomonadati; Pseudomonadota; Gammaproteobacteria; Enterobacterales; Enterobacteriaceae.
UGAAGAGUUUGAUCAUGGCUCAGAUUGAACGCUGGCGGCAGGCCUAACACAUGCAAGUCGAACGGUAACAGGAAGCAGCUUGCUGCUUCGCUGACGAGUGGCGGACGGGUGAGUAAUGUCUGGGAAACUGCCUGAUGGAGGGGGAUAACUACUGGAAACGGUGGCUAAUACCGCAUAACGUCGCAAGACCAAAGAGGGGGACCUUCGGGCCUCUUGCCAUCAGAUGUGCCCAGAUGGGAUUAGCUUGUUGGUGAGGUAACGGCUCACCAAGGCGACGAUCCCUAGCUGGUCUGAGAGGAUGACCAGCCACACUGGAACUGAGACACGGUCCAGACUCCUACGGGAGGCAGCAGUGGGGAAUAUUGCACAAUGGGCGCAAGCCUGAUGCAGCCAUGCCGCGUGUAUGAAGAAGGCCUUCGGGUUGUAAAGUACUUUCAGCGGGGAGGAAGGUGUUGUGGUUAAUAACCGCAGCAAUUGACGUUACCCGCAGAAGAAGCACCGGCUAACUCCGUGCCAGCAGCCGCGGUAAUACGGAGGGUGCAAGCGUUAAUCGGAAUUACUGGGCGUAAAGCGCACGCAGGCGGUCUGUCAAGUCGGAUGUGAAAUCCCCGGGCUCAACCUGGGAACUGCAUUCGAAACUGGCAGGCUUGAGUCUUGUAGAGGGGGGUAGAAUUCCAGGUGUAGCGGUGAAAUGCGUAGAGAUCUGGAGGAAUACCGGUGGCGAAGGCGGCCCCCUGGACAAAGACUGACGCUCAGGUGCGAAAGCGUGGGGAGCAAACAGGAUUAGAUACCCUGGUAGUCCACGCCGUAAACGAUGUCUACUUGGAGGUUGUGCCCUUGAGGCGUGGCUUCCGGAGCUAACGCGUUAAGUAGACCGCCUGGGGAGUACGGCCGCAAGGUUAAAACUCAAAUGAAUUGACGGGGGCCCGCACAAGCGGUGGAGCAUGUGGUUUAAUUCGAUGCAACGCGAAGAACCUUACCUGGUCUUGACAUCCACAGAAGAAUCCAGAGAUGGAUUUGUGCCUUCGGGAACUGUGAGACAGGUGCUGCAUGGCUGUCGUCAGCUCGUGUUGUGAAAUGUUGGGUUAAGUCCCGCAACGAGCGCAACCCUUAUCCUUUGUUGCCAGCGAUUAGGUCGGGAACUCAAAGGAGACUGCCAGUGAUAAA